Molecule: ribosomal RNA, 348 nt
Filed under: Triticum aestivum (bread wheat)
Lineage: Eukaryota; Viridiplantae; Streptophyta; Magnoliopsida; Poales; Poaceae
Description: partial small subunit ribosomal RNA
Source: RNAcentral
AUGGUUGUUGGCUUACUCCAGCAGCCAGCCCAGCCUUCCCUCCCGGUCAUCAGUCCAACUUCUUGCUCCGACGCCGGUCACUCAAAGAGCCGCGUGCAGGCCACCCGUGUUUCACCUCCUGAUCCAGCUCAACUUUCUCCAUUCUUCAGCAUCUUUGAUUGUCGCAUGAUACUUGUAUUGGGUGCUAGAGUUCAUGUAUUACUGCCAGGUACUAGGUGGUGGCAUUGCUUCACUUCUCUUGUUACGUUCUCUUCGCCCAAAUUCGAAGGAUCAAGAAAAGAAAAUAUCAUUGUUUUGACAUGCACCACUCAAAAGAAGUCGUUUCUGUUGAAAAUUUGUUUCGCUUGA